Non-coding RNA from Mycena rebaudengoi, 98 nucleotides. NCBI's taxonomy places the organism in Eukaryota, Fungi, Basidiomycota, Agaricomycetes, Agaricales, Mycenaceae. The record is from the annotation of a GenBank genome assembly.
UCGGGUAUGGUGCACGGCGCACCGCUCCUUCUUGUGACGCCAUUUGAACAUCGCACCAUGCACUGGAGCAAGCCAGGGUUCGAAUCCCUGUGCCCGAU